Molecule: non-coding RNA, 113 nt
Filed under: uncultured Siminovitchia sp.
Lineage: Bacteria; Bacillati; Bacillota; Bacilli; Caryophanales; Bacillaceae
Description: SAM riboswitch (S box leader)
Rfam family: SAM riboswitch aptamer (S box leader)
About the family: The SAM riboswitch is found upstream of a number of genes which code for proteins involved in methionine or cysteine biosynthesis in Gram-positive bacteria. The SAM riboswitch acts at the level of transcription termination control.
Source: RNAcentral
UCUUAUCAAGAGAGGCGGAGGGACUGGCCCGAUGAUGCCCGGCAACCAUUAAGCUUAUUUGACUGCUUAAUAAGGUGCCAAUUCCUGCAGGAGUAAAUUCCUGAAAGAUAAGA